Columba livia (rock pigeon) is the source of this 19475-nucleotide long non-coding RNA. RefSeq lists it as uncharacterized. The transcript is spliced from 19 exons. Lineage: Eukaryota; Metazoa; Chordata; Aves; Columbiformes; Columbidae. The record is from RefSeq and is a predicted model, not a curated record.
GUUCUGCUUCCUUCUUAGGCCUAACUUGACGUUACUCCUUCUGCCAAAGUGACAGCUCCUGGGUGACGUGUGACACAGUAGAGCCAAGAUAUGGCAUGUGUUUUCUCCAGCUGCACCGUUCUCCAGGAAGAGGCUUAGCAGAAUCUCUGAAUGCAUUUACAUGACUGGAAAGCUGUUUUAGCAAAAAUGUUUGAACCUGAAGUGUGAUUCAUAUUCCAACAGACUGAUUUGUGCUUUCCCCAGAGACUACCAGGCUUUUAUGGCAUCCUAUGGGAUUCCAAGUCCCACCAGCUGAAAAUGGCAUAUACUGACUUUCCAGAGUUGUCUCCAAGUUGUAAUGGACAACCUCUCUCCUGCUAUCGGAGCCCAGAGAGAAAUAAACCAAGACCACCAGCUAAGACAUUACGUAAUUGCCAUGGAUAUGAGCAUUGAAUGCCCUCAGGAAUUACUUACAAAGGAAACUGGAAACUCCAUGGCAUCUCUGUCAUCUUUCCCUUCAGAUGCUGCCUCCAAACCUCUUCUGAAGGACCUUGUGCAAAGCAGAGCAUGGCAAGAAAAAAUCAUCACAGCUCCAAUCAGUGAACGUACUAUCAAUUAAUACCAGAACCAUGGAGGAAGCCCUGGAUCUAGAUGCAUUGCCCCAGCCAGCUUUGCCAGUUCAAAAGAGUCUCCAGGAAAAGGGUAGAGCUUCUUCUGCAAGGCAGCCAGUCAUCUCCUGCAUCAAGCCCAGCUGUCAGGAGUUCUGCCCUCUGCAUUCCCACUAAAGCUUUUAUGCUAAGUCCUUAUAGAGCUGAAUAAACCUUGUUGAAACUUGAUUACAUGUUGUAUUAAAAACACAUCUGGAAAGGACAUUUCUCACAGUCCCCGACCAUUGAACUGCUGCGGUUUAAUUGUGUGAAACUGAGUUUCAGGAUUCAAGAUCUUGCGCAGAUUGUUCUGCAAUAAAUUCUUCAGAUUCAGCAACAUCAGCAGGAGGGAAGGCCACGGAUGUCAAACUAACCCCACCUCAGCAGCCAGUUGUGCCGUCAUGUGAAAAAAGGAUUCUUCUUUCUGUAUCAGCCAGGGUUUUCCCAGCAGCCAGCCCUGUUGUACAGGUAGAAUCAGCAGUUGAUGUUACACAUAAAGACAAGCCAACAAGACCUUGCGCAGCUGAAACAAGCCUGAAAGUAGCGAUUUACUUACAUUCCAAAUAAAGAGGCCAGGGCAAUAGCUUGGAGUAAGCUGCAGUUUAUCUCCCAGUGAUGUCUUCAGUCUUUAAAGUUUCUUGAGCACCUCUGCUAUGCUUCUCAAGAAAAUUACCUGGACAAUAAAGCGUGGGACAUCAAGAUGGUAUUGCCAGUUCUGUUUCCCUCUGCACUGUGGAGCUGGAUUCAUGUCAGCAGGUAUUCAAGAAACAAAGUUCAGAGCAACACUGGAGAAGCAAAAGAAAAAACACAUCUGCAGGGGAAGAAGCACCAGGGUCUCUGCUUGAUGGAGGAAUUUCCAGAAGGACCCAGCCUGAGAGCACCCAUGUGCCUGCCCGGCCUCAGAUUUAUUUGUUGAGUCAGCUGCAGCACCUCUGCUGUCACUGAAAGCUGGCAGAAGGAUCAAUGACAAGUUGCCCCAAGAUAAGGAAGGCACGGGCUGCUCAGUAGCACUUUGAGAAGCAUCUCCCAUGACGGAUCUGCACCAAAGCUGAUUUUCAUUCCUCUUUGUCAAGGAAGAGGCUAAACUUUGGAGUUGUGUCAAGUCUAUUUUUAUGAUACUAAAAUCUCCCUGGGAAUUAUACGACUCUCUCUUUGGCUGCUUCAGGAAGUGUGGAUUAUAGAUCAGUCAUUUUAAGCCAGCUGACCUCAGCUACCAUCAGUGACAGGUUGCUUCUGGCUGUGUUGAGUUGAACCCUCCAAAGACAGAAAUUCCCCAAGCUCAGCUGAAUGCUGAUUCCUGCAAUGCACAGUAUGAAGGUACCUGGGAACAACAAGACAUCGGCUGAGAAUAAGAAGCCCAGUUCAACACAACGCUCUGCACAAUCCCAUGCUUGGACUGAGCAUGUUCCUGGGAAGCAAGGCACAGUUUUGUUAAGCCAGCAAAGCUGCACCCAGUUGCCUCGGGAGUUAAUCCGACAGCUUCACUGCAAGGGACUAACUCAGAAGCUUCUUCAUCUCCUCUGGUGCCCAUGCACAGCACCUCACCUGGUGAUGGUCUAACCCUGAGAAGCAUCUUUCACAAUCACCUCAGAAGACAGCGUUGUAUGCCACAGUGGUCCCUCUACUGCUGUGAGCAGCUACACCACGUAGCUCUGGAGCAGUGGUCUAACAGCUUACCUGAGGAGAGCUGAGGUAAGUCAUUGACUGAGAUACCUGGGUGCCAGAUGCUUAGUGGUCAGAUACAUUCAGCUGAAUAAAGCCUGUCUACAUAUGAGGAAAAGAAUUAAGCAUUGACGUUGCCAUUAUCAAAUUCAUCUCCUCACUAAAAGACAAAGUCAAAAAUAUCAAGCUUUGAAGCAAAUUACCUUAAAAUGGCGUGGUUAGGUAAAUAAAAAAGCAGCUAGCUAAGUCCUCAUGGAGUCUGCUUAAAGGCACAAUAAAGGUUUAGUGUAAAUGUAUAUCAUUAAAUAGCCUCUUUAAAUAUGAAAAGCAGUUAUGUCAAAAGGGCAGAGAAACACGGUUGUCAGGAGUAAAAAGCCACCCUUCAAAAAGUAAGUCAGUUCUAAUGGAGAAAAUAGACAAAAGAAUAAACUUGGAGAUAUUAAUGAAAACCACAAAAAAUAGGUCUCCAUCAUUUUGAAGAGUGACUUACUAAACAUACAAACCUAAUUAAACUGUCUUCAGUUACCUCAGACUCUAGAAGGCUGCUGGUGAACUGGUGCUUCCAGCACAUAACAGAGGUGCAGAAGGAGCAGUUCUGGAAGAGAAAGCAGGAAACACAGAUGUGUUAUUUGUGCCAGUAAUCAGCAAAGGAAGACUGGGACGUUCCCAUACAAGACCAACAGCAUCUCCAGGACUGCAUCAGAUUUAAGUGUCAAACAAGUACGACACUCGGAGCAGAGGGUAUUCACUCAAAAUUUCCAAACAAACUCAGAUAUGAAAUUGCCAGUAAUGACUCUUCAUAAUCAUUUAUUUUGCACUGAGCUCAGUACCACAGGUAGGGAAAAGAAAGACCGAAACCUGUGAGAAAGGCUCCAGAGGAAGCCUGAGAACUAGGAACUGGUGAAGCUGACCUCUGCAGCAAAUUGGUACAAGUUGUAAAGAAAAAUCAAAUUCACCAAUAUAGGGAAAAAUACAUCCCUCAGAGAGGGGUCCACCUGAUGUUUGUAGAAGCCAGACAUGCCUCCCAAACCUACUAGAGCUCUGUAGAAAAAUCGGCAUGUUGUGCUUUAUGAAGAAAACCCAGCAGCCCAGUUAAACAUGCACACUCUGCAACACAACUGUGUACUCUCUACCUUACCAAGAGAACUAGCUGUGUUAGAGUCAAAAAAAUCUAUUGCAAAUAUAGCUAAUAUCACAGGGCUUGCUUUUCUUGCUGGAUGGAGCAGAAUUCUCUGUACUUCUGGCUUUUUUUUGAAAGCUGCAAGCCAAAUCUCAUAUGCAUCAAUUAGACUGUGAAAAUGUACUGCUGGAGCUGCCUGUGGAAUGUAACUUAAUGAUAAAUUGCAUGCAUGCUGUAGAGAGACAUAAUAGAAUGUUAUUGCUGUUGUUCAUCUUUUGGUAUUUGGUCUGCAGAAUCUGAGCUUGUUAAUCAGCAUUUCGUCCUGCUUUUACUCGGGUGCGUUCAACGCCAAGAGUUAAUUUCCUCUCUGUGCUUUUCCACGGUGUGACUGAGCCAUGGUGAAGUCCUGUUGCAUUCAGAAGAGCCGGAUUGGAAUGGGUGUAAUCCAGCAUCAAUCCACAGAAAGCACGGGAAUGCAACCAGCCAGAAGUUUGUGGAACACCAGUGUGCCCACAUGGCCUGCAGAGACAGGGAUGCUGGUGAGGACCAUAGCGAGGGCUGGGUGAGACAGGUAUGCCCUUUCCAGGGGCUCCAAAUGGAGCAAAAGCUGCACAUUUCUCUCCAUGGGCCCAUGCCCAACUUGUUCUUUGAUCCAGACAGCGCAAAAUGCACCACCUAAACCAGAGACAACAUGGGAUGGGUAACAGGGUUGGUAACGAGCCCCUAGCCCUGUUCAGGCAGUUCCAGGCAGGGAAAACAGUGGCAGCAGCUGGCAGUGCCCAGGUGAGGGCUGGGGGCUGUGAGCAGGGGCUGUUUGCCUGUUGAAAGGCAGUGAGACAGGAAGGGCAACAGGAAUUGCUGGAGCAGAGAGUCUGAGCAGACUGGAGGCAGGGUGAAGCCACCCCUGACAGACUCUGUCCAGAUCUCCCACACCUGAAUGCCCCUAAGUGCCCAUCACUCCAGCUCUGAUGCUAGACAGAGGGACCUGUUCUAAACAUCUAAAACAAAGGUGGAAAAAUAACGUUUGCCUGGAAGAAGGAUCUUGCAAGAUUUCAUAAACUCAUCAUAAGGAUUUAUUUAAAUACUGUGUUUCAAACCUUGCAUAACAAACAAAUAGAUGCAGAUAAUUUUUAUGCAUCUCACCAACACUACAAAAAAGACCCAUUUUUCUGACACUCAAUCAUAAUAUUGAAAAUAUGCUUCCUCCCUUGAGAUACUGAUAGCCAAGAUUGUCAAAAGGGGAGUUGUUUUUUAAUUCCUCCAACUGGGAAUAUUUAAAACAGCUUUGAGAAGAUCUUUGUCUACAUUUUGGUUUCCUACGUCUCCUUUCAUAAAUAUACUUAGUGCAAUUCAUGCAAGACAAAUCAGACUGCUUGUUUCCCAGCCAUAGUCACCUACUGCAAUGAGCUCACACUCUGCAUUGCUCAGUAUAAUAGUCAGUAUAACUGUAUUAGUAAAUGGGUCUAUGUAGACUAUUUAGGUCUGCUGAGAAGCACCAUAUAUUAGUCAGAUGGUCAGCUGAGCUAUAGCUUUGUGGUAACAAACUUUUGGUAUAUAAUCACAUCCACAGCCAUGUUCAUAAUAGUCUCGUGCAAUAACUCAGAAAUAUGGCAAAUUUUAUACUCUCUUAAGAGCAUUGCAGGCUUUGUUUGCCCUUUGUUCCCUUUAUUGUAUUGUAUUUAUAAAAGCCAUGGCAUUGAAUAUCUGAAUUAUUACAGCCUGGAAGAGAUUAAAGGUAACAACCAGAAACACAAAUGAGCAAAAAUUCCAGUUUUGAGUCCUGUUGUACUUGAACCUGAUGUUCGUCUCUGCCUGGAAAACUUUUUCAAAAUGAAGCAGCAUAAUCUCAGCCAAAACCAGAAAAAUGGCUGUGAUAACCAGAUGAGAGUGUGUGAUCACAUACUCCAGGUUCCUCAUUCAGAGCUGUGACUUCUCUCAUCUCACAAACAGAAAAGCCCCUUAGAAGAUACCUAGCAAGGAGGUCUCUCCACCUCACCAGAAGCCCUCUGCUCUCCACAAGAGCCACUGUUUAAUGCAGUUGCAUACCUUUCUACCAGCUUUUCUUUAAAUUAUCUGUUUUUCACUGGCUUGUCUUCUUUUUGAUGUUGCUAUACUUACAGAAUGAAAUGAACCUGGAGAUCCUACCUUUCAUUCAAACAGAGAUGUAAUUUCCCUAGAAAAUUAUUUCACUUUCCCUAGAAAUGUUUUCAUUUUCACAAAAGAGUCAAUGAAGCUAAUUUCUAAAGUGACAUAUAAUUUACUGAAGUUCAGACUAACAAGAAAAAUAGUUUGUAAAAGUAUACCUUUGUAGCUUUAUUAACAACUGCUUUUCUUCUACUAUUCUUAAUAUUUUGUGAUAUUGCACGCAGUAAGAAGAACUCUGAGGCAUCAGCAUUACAACAUGGCAUUAAUUCAGGAUGCACCAUUUGACAUUAGACUCAUCAGGCCUUUAGGACACAAGUUAGGCUGCGAAUUUCAAGUGUAUUUUUGGAUAAACUAUUUGCAAACGAGAUGUAUUCCAAAUAUUUGCUCAUUUAAUUAGAACAUAAAAGGUUUUUCUCUUUGACUGGACCUUGCUUCUGACCCUUCCUGCCUGUGUGUGGUUCAUAUUGUUCUUGGCUAAUGAGAUAUAGAAUAUGUACUAAACAUUUACACAUUAAAGCCGUCCUUCAUUCAGCAUGAAGGUGUUGAUACAUCAAGGAUACCUCAAACAUGCUGAGAUUCCAACAACUUGUCAGACAAAUUAGCACCUUACCAAUCAGGGGUAAAAUUGAGUUUUAUAUUUCUCCCUGGUGGGAAGAAAAAAAAAUCAAAAAUCACUGUUGUUUAAUGCUUUCUUUGUAAAUAUGAGCACAAAAAGCUUUAUCACCUCUGUAGUGUAAAUUAUAGCCCUCACUGACUAUCUGAUUUUUAAUUCAUUGGUUUUAAAUGAUCCCAGACAGUUCAGAGCUAUCCAUUGUAUCAUGCCUCUCUCAGGGCAGAGAUGUCCCCCCUUCUAAGCUUAUUUCUUUCACAAUUAUUUCAAAUUUACACCUAUAUAUUAAAAUGGAAGAAAAACAAAUCUCAAAUCUGUAUGUUCCGCUCGCAUAUAACUACCAGGGCUUUUUAACCCAAAUUCUAAGAAACACUUGGAAUUAAGAGACUGUAGGGCAAUUGAAAUAUAAAGGUUAACAUUUAAUAUUUUUUUUUUUAGCUGGCUAGUUUUGAUAAUUAGUUCUCAGUGCUUCAGAAUGCAGGUAUUCAGACAUACAGAGCACCAGAAAGACCAAGAUAAUCCAGCCACAGAAUAACUGGACUGGGAAUAAGGUUAAGGUCAACCUUGGGUGCUGUAGACAUUACAGCAGGAACCAGUGACCUCUAGAAUCACAAAUCAUGUAUGUACUGGGGAGAUCAUGAAACAAGUUGCUACCUACAAAAGGUCUGGGGAGAAGAGGUUACUAUCAUACACCUCUAAGAAAGGAACAAUAUACACAUCUAAAGAGCUUUAUGUACCUCCCAUGAUCCCAUCACAAACAUAAAUUUUCCAAGAUUAUGAGGUCAUCAAAUCAAAUAAACCAAUCAAAUCAAGAGGAGGCCUAACGUUUCUAUAGAGAUCAGGUAUGUACCUGUACAUCAUUCCUCAGUUUCCCCUUGGUAACUUCUUCAUUCUCAAUAAUCUCAAUUCAGUAGGGGUGGUGUUUUGGUUUUUUUUCUUAAUACAAGAGGAACAUUUGUGGACAACCUACCUGGUUGAAGUUGCUUGAAAUUCCCUUCAGAAGUAACAGUCAUCAAAUGAAUUUUCUCUCAGCUCUUCUUCAUUUACCAUUAAACCCUAAUAUCUAAACAAAACAUACAUACUUUUCUGUUCCACACCCGGGUAUCUGCUCCAUGUGACAGUUAUCCUAUGGCCACAACUUCCACUUAACUAGGACACGAUGCCUUAACUGGUGUUUGUGUGCAAUCAUCUUUGUUCAAAGAUUAUAUUAAACUCGUUACAGAAUAGCUGCCUGGGAAAAGAGUGUUACUAGAAGCAGGUAUUUAAUUCUGAGGAUGCCAAUUCAUUUUCUGCACUGUUUUUCAGAGCUGUCAGUACAACGAGUAGGGCUGUUAGUGCCCAGCAGCCAUAACAAGGCAGACAAAGGUUGCUGAAGCAGACACAUGGGAUUGAAUGUUGACUCUGUGGGCAUUGCAUAGGCACGUCAGACUUGUAAACCAGAUUCUUAUACAAGGAGCAUAAUAUAGAAAUCUGGAGAAGAUAAAAGAUUUGUAUUUUUCAUAAACAUUCACAAACAUUUUUCAUGUUUGUAUGGAACUUCAGAGCAACACUCCUGCACAGUAACAUAUAUUACAUAUAUAAAAACACUUGUGCUUGUUUUUGCCUUGAGGGAAAAAAAAAAAAAAAUCCAAAAGAAAAAGACAUAGAAAGUUUAAAUCCUUAAAAGAGAAAUUUUGGUCCACAUACAUAUAGUGACAUGAUUUAUAAAUAUGUAAUUAAAAGGAACAGAUUUACUGACAGGAUCAUAAAUCUGUAGAUAAGUGUUGGUAUUUGACUAAAACAAUAAUGGCAAGCACUAAUUGCAUGUAGUCCGUUGCAUGGCUACUGGAAUCAAGUAGUGAAGAGGAUCACAGUUCCUUAUUAGUUAGGACCACCUAGAGUGAGGGAAAGCUUGAAUGAUCAAAGAGAAGACAGUUUUAUGCUGCAGAUGCUGAUAUACUCUUGAGCUUUCUAGCACAAUUUCAGAGCCAGUAUGAACACUUGACAUACUAACUACUGAAGAGGGAAACAAAUGUAGUAUGAGACUACAAAAGUUUUGCUUGCAUCAAAGAUAAACAAAUAUUGUUCAGUGUUUCUAUUCCCUAUUGGAUAGUUUUGUAUUAGUGCCAGAACUCAACAACUUAUUUUGCCUACCUUAAUCAAGAAUAAAUUAGCCUUACUUCCUGAUACCAAAGCAUGAGAGAUCCUGUCCUGCCUUCUCUGAAUAUCCAUAGUAAUCACCCUUAAAUUAUGACUCAGUAAGAGUAGCAAUCGCCUCUGAGAAGGCUUUUGUUUAACAUAACUGAGGGACAUAAGCAGGAGACAAAUACAAUCAAGUAACAACCUGAUGCUUCCAGUAAGGGUGAGCUUUACUAAACAGUUUUACUCUCCAUACACAUUGGUUUAACAUUUCUUUUUGAAAGCUCUUCACAACUCCUGGCCAGACUACCUCUAAUUUCUCUAAAAUCACUAGAAUCUUAAGGGGUUAAGUACUUUGUUGUAGCAGGUGUAAUUGCUAUAUUUAAUAUAUUGUUGUUUAUAUUUAUACUAUUGUAUACACAGGGAACAUAUUAAAUGUUUCCUCACUAAAUAAGCAACGUACACUUGUAAAAAUAUUCAUGGGUAUUACAUCUCAGUUCUUUGAAAUCUUGAAUCAAGGAAAUAAAUCUUAAUAUAAAAUGGACAACUGCCUAACUAGAAAAGUUGCCACCACCUCCUUGCCAGUAGCUAAAAUCCACUUUCUCACUCCUAAAAUGUCAGGAUGCAGUUUGACAAAAGCUUAAGAGAAGAAUAAACCAGUGCAUAUGAUCAUGUGCUUCACUACAAAGUCAACAUCCAUUCACAGAGACCUUCAGCUUGAUAUAGAGAUGCCCAAUCUUAUUUGAGUUUGCUUUCUCAGACCAUUCUGCAACACUACUACAGAAUCAGGAAUGAGCCUAACUACUAAAUUCUGCCUUUUUGAAGACACCAUGGCAACCCUGGUUUAGCAUUCAAACAGAAAACAAAAUAUCCAUGUUCAGAUUUGGGGAAUCCAUUUAAACUUUUAGAAGAAAUGAGAGGCUGGGGCUGUCAACUUUGAACCAUCCCCAAGUUUAAGGUUCAGACUUCAUUAGUUUUGGCUAGGAAUACUCUCUAAUUCCUAACAGAGUUUCCUCAAGUUGCACUUGAGAAAUUCGUCUUUUUUUGUACAGUGUAAAGUAUUCAUAAAAAGCUAAAAACUGUGGGAAAAUUAGCAUUGAUGGAUGUUUUCUUAUCCUCCAUCAGGAAAUGAUGUACUUGAAACUCAUUACAGAUCUUCGUAGAAACUCUGCUGAAUGUGCCUUGGGCUUUGUGCUGAUCAGCACACACAGAGUUUACUGCAUAAUUCAUCUCUCUUGUGUCACAUUUAAUGUAUAACAUGUAUUUCCUCUUAAUUAUGAAAAUGAAAAUGUGUCCUUUCUUUUAGAAACAUAAUCAUGAAAUUACUACAGAUAUUAAAAAACAUGGAGUUGUGUUUUACCCAUUUUAGACAAAACUUCAAAUUUAAGUCAGUAUUACCUCCUACACAGAAAUAAGAGGAAAGCAUCACAUUAAGAACUCACCAAACAUGUUUUGCUUCUCCUUUGUGCACCAGACACAGCCUCUCCCCUGUGGCUACACAAGGAGAGGUGCAUGGGAUCCCUGUUGUCCCACUGACUGCCAGGGUCAUCCUUUUCAUUGGAGCCGUGGGUUGGCAUGUGGUCCCCUUAGCUUUCUACCUCAGAGACAGGUUUGGAUGUUUUCAUGUCUCUUUUCAAAGAUGUCAACAAAACAUUGGCAUCCUGUAUCUCAUUUUCUUCAUUCAAGGCUGAAGAUUAUUCAGUAAUAUUCUACUUCACUUCACACAUCCAUCUAUAUGAGUCUGUUCAGCUUCCUUUACCAAAAGAAUGAAGAAAAAAUAAAAUCCUAUCUUAGCAUCAUAUCCACACCAAUGUAUCUUAUGAGGUUAUAUUGUCUACCACCUUGAAAGAGUAGGAGAGGGAAAGAUUAAAGUGAUGGAGCAAGAAAAGGAAAGGAGCAACACCAUAAAUCUGAAAAUAUACCAUUCUUACUGGGAAUAGAAAGGAGAAGGAGGGAGUUUAUCAAUACACAAUGGUACAUUUGAUCCCCAUAUUCUUAUUAAUACAUUGACUAUUCCCCUUUGGAGAAACAAUCCUGUACCAGGAUUAUUUGCUCUGUGGCUGGUGAGGCAACUGGGUUAGUAUUUCUUUCAUCGUUCACACUAGCAUCAUGUCAGUACCAGGUUUUAGAGGGCUUUACUAAAUACCAAAUCAAAGUUGAUAGUCCAAUAGAUGUUGUAGACCUAUUCUAACCAUUCUUAUUGCUUGCCUGGAUUACAUUCAAGCGUACAGUGUCCAGUUCCCAGAGGAAAUUAUCUCUAUUUUGUGAUCAUAGGUAUGUGCAUCACAUUCAGAAAUGCAACCACAUGUAGCUUGAAGCCUACCUCAGAUGCUACAGCUCUGUACCAGCUGUGAGACACAGGGGAGCCACAAGUAAUCUGAACAGGAGGAAGCAAGGCAGCUGCCCUAGGAUCCAGCCAAACCGUGUUCCUCAGGGAAGUGUGAUAGGGCCCUUGCAGACAGAGUAUUAUCUUUCACUUAUGAGGCAAGGUCCCAUAGUUCUCUCUUCUCACAACUUUCAGGAGAUAUUCCCUUUUAACUCUUGCCCUCAUGAAAAUUUCAUUCAUAAUGGCUAAGGUCAGUAUAGUUGAUUAGCUGGCUAGAGCAACAUGAAGUUGUUUAUCGGCAAAUAUUGGCGGUGACCUCUAGAAAAUGAGUCUGGCUAAAAAGACUUAUUUAUCAGUAGUGGUGUCCAGGAACAAGGAUAAAUUUCCAUUUCCCCGGCUGUGGAAAGACCUGAGCAGAACCCCACCAAAACAUCUCUGAAGGAUGAGAGCACAAUUUUGGUGGCUUCUCCGGGAGGUUUCAACUCCACUAUUCCUUCUACAGAUGAGAAAAAUACAUUUAACUGCCACAGCUGAUGGUUACAGGGAUCAGGGUGUAAAAAAUAAACAAAUAAAUGAAUAAAUAAAACUGGGGGAAGAUUUCAUUUUUACUCAGCUGAUCUCUGUGAGAAACAAAAACAGCCUUGGCAGAAAGAAUGUAGGCAUUUUUAACCUUCUUCUUCCAGGUUAGCAAACAGUACAACACCACCAGUUACUGUAGCAUCUGAAUUUCUUAUGGUAUACUUAAGCAUCAACUUCUAGAGUCACAUGGCUGAGUAAAAUCACCCAGUGCUCUUUUUUUUUUCUUGAACCCUCUAUUCGUGAUUGUACAGAAAAGUUUGGAAGUGACUUCUAAAACCACAAGGCCUGGAAGGCUAGACAUGUCAAAUAUAUUCACUUAACUUCGAACUCAUGGCUUUGAAGACAAUCUCAUGAUUUCUAGAUGCUUAAAUCAUAUUUUAUUGAAGCAUGCGAUAGCAAUGCUGCAAGUGUUGGAACACAACUUUUAUCACUCUGAAACCAAAAAUACCUCUUAAAAAUCACUGGUAUAAGCAGUCACUCCUGCCGUUACGGGUAGCUGAACAAUGCUGCUUCAGCUUAUUUAGAAGGUGAAGAAGUAAAACAUUUCUGAAUAAUGUAAGCGAACAUGAAAAAAACCUGUAAAGAAAAAGGAUAAUGAAAUAUUCUUUUAUGAAAUGCAGGUAUUUUACAUAGUCAUCUUACAAUAAAAGCUUUUUCCAUCACAUUAGCAUUUACCUCAGGGCAAAUUCAUAGUUUUUUUUUUUUUCAAGGUAUUGAUUCUUUUCUAUAUCCUAAAUUAUAUUUAAGUAAUAAUUCUAUUUAUUUUUGUUUUCAUCUCUAGCUCUCAGUUUUGGAGUGCCUUGCCUUGGAACAGCCUAUUUCAUCAUUACACACUGCACCUAUUUUACACUUCUUGCAAACUUAAGGGUAUUUUGCCAUUAAAGGGUUUUUUGGCACUUUUUAUCAGUUGAAAGUUGGUUUAAAACAUUAUAAAAAAAAAAUGGAAUGAUUAAGAUGCAUUCCAUGCUAGAAGUCCAACAGCUCCAAAUGUUCUUCAUUUUUCCUUCCAAGCCCACAUAUUUCAUGAAACCUUCUAUUGUUUUAUUUUUCGCCCUCAGGUUUCUUUCACUCUUCACUGGCAUAAACAGAGAGACUGAUAUUCUUUGAAAAUGUAUCUGUGCAGAUCACUUGUCCUUGAAGUACAAUAUCUUAUUUACAAGAAUAUUUCAUUUGAGAGCUGAAUUAUUGAUAGACAGCCUUGACAUAAUAUUUGGGACAACAUAUUGUUGCUAUAUUAAACUAUAUUGUAUUACUUUCAGCUCAACAGAUGGAAUAGUUUGAUUUUUGUAGUUUUGAUCAUAGAAAUUCAGAAAUUUGACAAAGUGCAUUUAACCUGGCAGAUCAAAACAUACUCCUUAGUUUUGCUGAAGAAAGGCUUCACCAAUAUCUAAAUUUAAGAGGGAAAAAAAGUCUAUUCUCUCUGUAGAAAUAGGCAGCUCUUCACACUCCAGUCUUAAAGCUAAGAAUUCCUGGCCACAUAAUUACAUUUUUCUAAAAGUAAUUUGUCUAUUGUAAAGCUCCUACAUAAUGCAAGCAUGAGGGAAUUUUAAAUACAAUAUUGCAUGAAUGCUUCUCAAAACAACAAUUUUUCAACAUUCUCCGAAAUUUCUGUCAGCACACUUAGCAGCGUGACUGAAUCACACAGUCAGAAGACACCCAAACCCCAAACAGUACCUUACUAAUAGCACUUCACAAACCUGCUGUCUCAGGUCUCUAAAGCCCCCACGUGCUCUUCUAGCUCUGAUUUAGAUUGUCCAUGAUAAUCAUUGUUGAGAAAACAAAAAAACCCGUCUUGUUCUGAAGCCAUGCAAGGUUUAACUCCUACCUUUUCACUGGAACAAAAGUCCAUAGGUGUAAUGCUGCAGGGUCAGACCAGUGGGGUAGCUAGCUCAGUGUCCUGGAUCCAGCUGUGGUCAACAGUUUAGCACUAUUAGAAAUACCUAUGAAAAGACCUUUUUUUUGGUCAGUUGGUAAGAGUCAAAAUUAUCCCUAGCACCAAAGACAGUAAUUUGCCUUACCCACCCUUAAAGCCUUGCUAAGAUUAGUCACACAACUGUUUUCUUCUCAAGUAGUCUUACAGACUACUCAAAACCAAUCUUUUCUCUGCCACUAUCAUGAACAGAAUUUCACCAAAUUUUAUUGACUCAUCAAAGGGCACUUCUCCUGAAUAUGCAUCCGGACUUUUAUAUGUUUUAUAACACUGUCGGGUUUUGGUGCAACUGUAUGUUCAUAGAACAUACAGUAAAGCAAAUCUUCUCCUAUGUUCUUAGAACAUCACCUUGAAUCUAGAGACUCCUCAAACCAAAGCUCCUCUAAAGACAAUUUAGUCAUUUUGCCUCUGUGUUACAGUUACAUUGUCUAUACAUUUCUCUUUGAAGAAUAAGAAAAGAAAGUGGAGGAAGCCAGCCAGUGAUACCUGAAAAGGCUUCCUCAGCAGGGAUGGGAGUUAUUUCCUCAGCAAACAGUUUGGCAGUCGGAGGACCAUUAAGCACCUCUUUCAGCCCUUUACUCAGUGGAGAAGUAUCACCAGAGGGUGAUUAAGGAGAGUUGGAUUAGAGGAAUCCCAGCUUCAGUAUGGUAAUAUAUAACCAGAAACUAAUGUCUCCUGUGCCAGACUUGUUCUUCCUCUUAGAACAGCACGUCACUCUGCAUCAUGGAAAUGAAACAGCAGAUGUUUCCAAAUAUAGAGCAAGAUUCACUGUGCUUGUCAGCUGUCUUCCUGGACUGCAAACGUGCAUUAUAACUAUAGUGGCAAAAAGCCACUUCUACAAUACCUUACAAAAUUAGGAAGACAUCAACAGUUUGAAAUAAAGAGCAUAUCCGUAAUGUUUUUUGCUGCUAUUUGAAAGAUGCAGAGUGGAGGAGGUGGAACUGUUAGUAACAUCAUUCCUCCAGAAAGCCUUUUCAGCUAAAUCCCUGUAGAGAGUCCAGCUGGACGUCUGCAGGAGAAUUUGACACUAACAUCUACAGUAGCCAUUCAGUGGGUGCUAGCUGAUGAAAGAUAUGGAGCUCUUAGAAUAAGAAUCCUGUUGAAAACCUGUGGCAGCUUUAAAAACAAAACCAGGUACUGGUUUCCAAAAAGGAACAAAGUAUAUUGUGAACUUGAUACUCCUCUCAAUUUUCAGUUGAUCUUUAAUCUGUGAACCCACCCACAAAACAAGUGCUAGUUGUUUUUUAUUUUAUAUCUUUUUGAAACAGAGAAGGCAAUUGGUGAUAUGACGCCGUUUCACUAUGUUAGAAAUAGCUGUGCAAUUUGGAAGUGGUAGAGGGAGUGUAUUGUCGGGAGAUACAUGGAAGAUAAUAACUUCUUUAAGAUUCAUGGUGGCAGUAACUACAAUGAGAAAAAAAAAAAUGGAACUACAAAUGGACCCAACCUCAGAAUUUGCAUGGAUAUAAAAUUCAAUAUUCCUGGGAUUCCCAAAACAUAUAGAUCUCCGUGGCUGACUGAGCUGUUAUAUUCACCAGCUUUGAAGUCAGAUGAAAGUCUCAUUAUUCCAAUCCAAUGAAUGUAAUCUCCUCACUUUUUUCAGUAGGACAAGAGCCACUAGGGGAUACCUUUUACUGAAUGACAGAGCAUAUUGAGAAACAGUCAAAUAUUGGGAAUAAGCUCCAGGAUGGUCUUGUAUAGGACAUGAAAAGACAAGUCCAGAGUAAUUCUAACUGCAAAAUUGGAAUGUCUUAAUAGCGUUUGGUCAUUUCUAAGACAUAGUAUGCUGGGGAAAAAAAAAAAAAAAAAAAAAAGGUCUGUGGAAUGCUCAGGAUUACAAAAUUUCACUUAAAUGAGGAGACAACACCCGCUACGGUGUGAAGGACCAUAAUCUCUUGCAUUUAUGUCUACACCUGCUCAAGCAGUCCUCUUUUAGCAAAAUUGGAUCUAUUUCUUUUGUAACUGUAUUUGUUGAUUUUAACUGAAAUUUCAGAAACAAGAAAGCCUUUUGCCAUUCUAGUUUUUCUUGUCUUUGUUGUGCUCAUUCCACAACAAAGAUUAAGCUUUUAUUUAAACUGGAUGACCCAGUAUAUUCAGUUCAGCUGCUAGAUUGACUGUCACUGAGUUGUCAAAUGCCUGUUAUGAAUAGUAUACAGAAGGAGAACAAGUUGACCUUGAACUUGCUAAAUGUUUUAUGAAUACUAUCCAUUUCCAGAAAAAUAUGAAUAUGUUUUCCAGAUUUGCUCUUUUUGCUUUCCUUAAGCUGUUCUCUGUAACAAAUGCCUUUCAUCUUACUGAGAUGUUUGUUACAUGGAAGGUUUGGGAGAGGGCGAACAUUUUAAUGAUGAAUUUAAUGCUUGUGGAUUGUAGAGGAUUGAUUAUAUUGUAGGCUGGACUUCACUAAAGGCUAUGAAGAAUAUUGUUGCUAUAAUGUUAACAUUGCUUCCUAGGACCUGUCGAAUUCUGCUUUAUUAAUUUCCAUUACUGGGAUGAUUUGGUCUUAGUGACUAUUCCUUCCUCUUAACUGGCAUUUUUAGGCAAAAUCAGAGUAGAGAAUACUGUUUAAAUAGAAGAAACAAUGCAACCAUAGUUUGGAUCUUCCCAGCUCAUACAAGCCCGUGCAUUAUUUCCAAACAUAAGACUGCGACCUCAGCACCUCCAGAUGGUGUUGGAAGCGUGUAAUUCUCAUGUAUAUGCAAGAGACCGUAGGAGGAAAGGGGGGCAGUUAGUACUACAGGAUCUAGGUCAUAGGAUCCUGGUUGUAACCAACAGAGAAGUAUGCUAAAUAGAAUUUAAGACACUUGUGCUCAUCACUGGAUUUUGAUCAAACACUUCAAAAGUAAAAAAUAGCAGCUAAUUUACUCUGCCAUGAAAUAUAUUGGUUCCUUUUCAAAUACAUUGGUUCCUUUUCAAAAGCCACUUUCAGCUCUUUCAGAAUUUGUGGACAAAGUGGUUUCUAGCUAGUAUAUAAUUUUAAAUGCUUUUUUGAAAGCUUCUUGCAUGAUAGAGUUCAUAGCAACAGCUUCUGCUACUGCCUUAAGAGCACAAUAAGGUUUAAUAAGAAGGAUGCACUUCAGUUCAUAGAUUGCUUGUUUUCUGCUUUACUUUAUUCACCAUAAUCCUUACCUCUUCUUAGAGAAAAAAAAAAAAAAAAGGCAGCCAGGGACCAGUAUUGAUCUUCUCUAUCCCAAAGCAGGUUCCCUUGAUCUGGAUCGAACCUGUCUCUGUCAGUAACAGCUUUUCCAGGAGACAGUUCUAUUUAAAAUGUUUCACAGGGCAUCUAGUUAUUUGUUCAUUUGUCAGGAAUGGUGGGAGAGACUAUAAUAGACAAGCAGCCUCAGCUGGCUGCUGGAUGUAAGACUAGAUCCAGUCAUAUCACAAAGACAGAAUAAGAAUAUAUUUUCCGCGCACUGUGGAAAAUAGUUUUAUGAUACAUCUUGACCCAAGACUUAUUAAAAAAACCAUUAUCAAUAUUAAUUGAAAUUUAAAAUGCCCUUAGGAAUUUCACUGCAAAAUUUUUACUCUAAUGUUGGGUUUGAUGUUACAAAUGAGAGGUGAGUGGCAGGAGCUGCCAUCUGGUACACAUGGCAGCUAUCAAUUCCACACUGCAAGAUCUAUUUUCAAGUUGAAUGUACAAGGAAAUAUGUUUUCCCUCAGAGCACAUUCCCCAUCAUCUGUACCAUAUACUCGUAUAAAUGUGGAGAGAGGACAGAGACUCUCAUUAUAAUCUUGUUUAUCUAACUGAAACUAAUCUCAGUCUUGUGGUUUUUAAAGAGCUUCAUCUGAAGGAUAGCUUCAAAUGAACAUGGAUGUGCACAAAUAGUAGAAAUGAAUGGGAGGUGCAAGCAUGGUCCAGACUGUCCUGUGUCACUUGUAAUAUCACAAGGCCACUAACGUCACUUAGAGAGGCAGUUGGAGUGCCCAUUCUACAUUAGAAAUGGUGACAAGAAACCCGAGACCCGUUCCUUUUCUUCUGACACACUUACAAGACAAACACAUGCUCCAUUAAAAAUAACACAGCCCUGCUCUGAUAUAUUUCCCUCCCAUGUGUCUGACUUAAAAAUAUGCCUUAGUUCACAGUGUUAUGCUUAUUAAGAUAUAAUAUUACUGUUCUGCAAUGAGCCACUUCAGAGGACGCAGCAGGGAAGCUGGCUCCCAUUGUGCUAAAGAGGGCAGCCCCUUCCAACUCAGCACUGGAGCAAAACAUUCUCCUCUUGCAACACUCUCUUCCUGCAUCCAGAGUUUAUUUUUUUUAAUGUUUUCUGGUUUUGUUAUUUUCUCCAGCCAUGCUGGUUCCACUUCUGAAAAGCUUUCGUGACAUAAUUGACACUACAGCAGCUAGGGCUGGGAGCACUGGAAAGCAGCUUAUUACAUUUUAUUUUCUUUGCACAGGUCACUGAGCUUCCAGUAGGAUUUUACCACAUCUUGUUGUGGAGAGCUUUUAAUGCUAAUUUGUUACUAUUAUUUAAGAACAGUCUGCUGAUAGGGAGACUACUAGCAUGCUGUCUAAACAUCAGAUAUUAUUUUGACCUUGCUUUAUUCCUGCAAUAAAAUCUGAUCGCAGGUUGCAAAUGCAUGCUGUUAUUCAUACAUUAACCAACAACAGGGGUAGCCUACAUCAUAACUGUAUGUGUAUGGAAAUUAUGUAGGGUUUUGUUUUCUUCUUCUUCUUUGGUUCACCUAUAUAAAGGAACUCACGUGUGUCACUGAUACUUUGCAUUAAAAACGAUCCAUAAAAAUAUUAGGUAUAAAUAAUGCAGAAUGGCAGUGCACAUGUGAGGCUCUAUGCAAAGCUCGCAGUUGAAAUGAUAAAAGAUUGAAGUGAUUAGAAAUAUGAUUCCAAAAGAAGCAGAUUAGAAAAGUAUUCUGUUCUGUAUCUUAGUAGUAAAGACAAGUUUAGCUGCGUUUGUUGCACAGAUUUUUUGAAUGAGCAUGUACACGAGCACAGCAUAUCCUGGUUUAGGAAUGAAGGGGCACCAGAUCUUCCCCAGCAGGCUCACUAGCCCAGAGAUUCCUCACACUGAAAUUACCAGCGGACAGCCUGACCCCAGGGACAGGUUCACUGUCAUGUGGUGGCGGCUGUGAAUGUUUCAAAUAUUUAGUACUUAUGCAGACACUAGCUCUUCUUAAUUGUUUUUCCUUCAAAAUAUCUGCAGAAAAGCAAUUCAAUGAGUCUGGUUAAAGUGUUACAGGGUUUUGUGACUUCUUUUAAAAGACACUGUGCUUCUGCAAAUUUAAGUAUCAGUAUAAACUUCGUUUUUCAGAGCAGAAAGUUUGUCACAAAUUGAGAACAUUUAUAAGCUUUUUCUUUUUUAGUAUAAUUUGAUCAGCAUCACUCUUCUUGCUCCAAGUCUAAAUUACUGAGAACCUCUGUUUAAGAAUGAUUGUUUAUGCAGAAGGAUCUUCCAUUAUGAAUUAGAGCAGCUGAGGAUUUGGCAUGGGUAUUUACUCACUCCUUCCCAGAUUCAACUUCCCAUCUCAGCUGAGCAGGGGCUUCGGUUUCAGCCUCUGCUUGAGCCGCAUUUUUGAAUGGAAGUUUUUUCAAAAACCGUUGUCCACUCCAUUUAGCUCUCCAUAACCACUAGUAACAUGAUGCAGUUCUCAAGUAUCCGUUUCUCUCUCUCUCUCUCAAAAAAAAAAAAAAGCAGCUGUCUAACCCAACAUUGACAUAUUGAUGCUUCAUGUCAUAUAUUUCAAACCUUUACUACAAAUUUUCGUAUCUCCAUCAAGUCCUUUAGUCUUGGACAUACAAAUAAGGGGGGGUUGAGGCUGCUGUAGUAAGAAUUCACACAAGGAAUCUUUACAUGAACUCACAUGCUGAGGCUGGUAAAUAGGUUCACAAGGUGGGGUUUGACAUCCCAAGGAACUUCAUAUCUGAGGAUAAAUUAGGAAUGGUUCGACUCUGCCAAGACAAUAUUAAUUCUUGAGACCAGACCAUAGUAGGCAAGCAAAAAGGUCAGUCUUUCCCCAGGAUAACAGGGGGGUCACUUAAGCAAGUCCAAAACAGGAGACAUACUUCAUCUGCACAGAGCUGGGACUACAGCACUACAUAGCAGUGCUGCUCUGGGGCUUGUCACCAUGUGAGUGUCUCUACAAAAUAAAGUGCUAGAGUCAUACGACACAAAAUAUUGACCUUGUAAGCCAAGAGGGAAAGCAACACUUCCACACAAGACUUAAGGACAAAUUAAAAAAGAGCCAGAGCCCUCUUGGAAUAACAAGAGAAAAGGAUGCGACGUGGAUGGCACAGACAUGCAAGCAGACAGAAGAGCUGGAAAACUGUGAUGAACCUGAAAAGGUGUCUCGGUGCCUUAAAAAAAACAAAAACAAAAAAAAGCUGGAAGUUUUAUUAAAAAUACAACAAA